UACGGGGGGAGCAAGCGUUGUUCGGAUUUACUGGGCGUAAAGGGCGCGUAGGCGGCCACCGCAAGUCGGUUGUGAAAUCUCUGGGCUUAACCCAGAAAGGUCAACCGAUACUGCGGGGCUAGAGUGCAGAAGGGGCAACUGGAAUUCCUGGUGUAGCCGGUGGAAUGCGCAGAUAUCAGGAGGAACACCGGUGGCGAAGGCGGGUCUCUGGGCAGGUAACUGACGCUGAGGAGCGAAAAGCGUGGGGAGCGAACAGG
This 257-nucleotide ribosomal RNA is filed under the name uncultured bacterium. RNAcentral describes it as "partial 16S ribosomal RNA". It matches the Rfam family "Bacterial small subunit ribosomal RNA", at positions 524 to 776 of the family's 1533-position model. The record is from RNAcentral.